This 424-nucleotide ribosomal RNA is filed under the name uncultured bacterium. RNAcentral describes it as "bacterial SSU rRNA". It matches the Rfam family "Bacterial small subunit ribosomal RNA", at positions 355 to 775 of the family's 1533-position model. The record is from RNAcentral.
UAAGGAAUAUUGGGCAAUGGCCGCAAGUCUGACCCAGCCAUGCCGCGUGAAGGAUGAAUGUCCUAUGGAUUGUAAACUUCUUUUAUGCAGGAAAAAUAUCCUGGUCGAGCACCGGGACUGAUGGUACUGUAUGAAUAAGCAUCGGCUAACUCCGUGCCAGCAGCCGCGGUAAUACGGAGGAUGCAAGCGUUAUCCGGAUUCAUUGGGUUUAAAGGGUGCGCAGGCGGAAUGAUAAGUCAGUGGUGAAAUCUCCCGGCUCAACCGGGAAACUGCCAUUGAUACUGUCAUUCUUGAGUACAGUUGAAGUGGGCGGAAUGUGUCAUGUAGCGGUGAAAUGCUUAGAUAUGACACAGAACACCGAUAGCGAAGGCAGCUCACUAAGCUGUAACUGACGCUCAUGCACGAAAGCGUGGGGAUCAAACAG